GCGGACGGGUGAGUAACACGUGAGAAUUCGCCUUUAGGCGGGGAAUAACCAUCGGAAACAAUGGCUAAUGCCCCAUAUGCUCGCAAGAGUGAAAGGAGCAAUCCACCCAAAGAGAAGCUCGCGGCUGAUUAGCUAGUUGGUAAGGUAAUGGCUUACCAAGGCGACGAUCAGUAGCUGGUUUGAGAGAACGAUCAGCCACACUGGAACUGAGACACGGUCCAGACUCCUACGGGAGGCAGCAGUGGGGAAUUUUCCGCAAUGGGCGAAAGCCUGACGGAGCAAUACCGGGUGAGGGAUGACG
Molecule: ribosomal RNA, 301 nt
Filed under: uncultured bacterium
Lineage: Bacteria
Description: bacterial SSU rRNA
Rfam family: Bacterial small subunit ribosomal RNA
Source: RNAcentral